UACAUAAAUGAGGUUUCUUGAUCAGUCC
RNAcentral lists this non-coding RNA (28 nucleotides) under Rattus norvegicus (Norway rat). The record is from RNAcentral. Lineage: Eukaryota; Metazoa; Chordata; Mammalia; Rodentia; Muridae.